Molecule: transfer RNA, 75 nt
Filed under: Microlunatus endophyticus
Lineage: Bacteria; Bacillati; Actinomycetota; Actinomycetes; Propionibacteriales; Propionibacteriaceae
Description: tRNA-Pro
Rfam family: tRNA
About the family: Transfer RNA (tRNA) molecules are approximately 80 nucleotides in length.
Source: RNAcentral
CGGGCUGUGGCGCAGUUGGUUAGCGUGCCGGUCUGGGGGACCGGAGGCCGCGGGUUCAAGUCCCGCCAGCCCGAC